Lathyrus oleraceus (garden pea) is the source of this 928-nucleotide long non-coding RNA. RefSeq lists it as uncharacterized. Lineage: Eukaryota; Viridiplantae; Streptophyta; Magnoliopsida; Fabales; Fabaceae. The transcript has 2 exons. The record is from RefSeq and is a predicted model, not a curated record.
CAAACGCAUUCCAGAAGUGAGACUCAGGGAUCAAUUCCAAUUAUAAUGCAUAUGAUUCGCGUGUUAAACAUGUAUCUCAUUUUGACAUGCGCUUAGUCCAUCAUCACUAUAACCAGCUUCUCCACCGCGUCAUAGCUCACCAGUCGUGGCGGUGGAGCACCAAUCAUCAGAACCAAAUACACCAUUUCACUCCAUUUUUUAAGCUCUAACCGAAUAUCAGCUCAAUUUCUACCAAUUCUUCAUAAAUUCUCUUAAUCAAACCAAAAUAUCACAUCAACCCUAACCAUAUAAACAAAAAUUAAAUGCUUAAAUGGAGGAAUCAAAGCCUAUGACGUUAGGGCUUUGAUUCCUCAGCCUCUACCCCACAUGGUGGUAACUAGAAUGAAGCUUAAAGAUGAAGAAAUGGCACAUGCAUGCCAGAGGGAGAGGUCCAAGAUCGGAGCAAAGGUAUUGAUAAUGCAGCUUUCAGGUGACAUGUUACAUUGAAGUUAUGCGGAAGCUACUGAUAGAUCGAGCAUGACCUACAAAUGCAGUUUUUGCUGCAAGCUGCAUGUUUAGUUUCAAUUUCUUGUAGGAUAUGUUUUGGUUGCAUGCAAGUUGCAAGUGGCUUUGGUGCAGGUUUAGGUUGGUUUCUUGAUGGCCUGCUAGGGUUUAACAUGGUGACCCGCUGGACUGGUUAGAUGACGUUCCAUUACUUUUUUCUCCAUGAGCAUUGUUGUUUGCAUGUCUGAAAUGGUAAGGAAUUAGCUGCAAAUAUUUGGGUUGUUAGUGGAUAUUUUGUGAUGCUAAUUACUAUUAGUACUUAGGUUAGGUUAUGUGGUAAAUGAGAGGUUAAAACAUGGCUGAUACAUGGCCUUGUAUGCAAUGCUUUCGUGUUGUCAAUGGUUGGUACAAUUUUUGCUGAGUAAAUCUCCUGAUGCCAUGUCUA